CGAGUCGACCGGGCGGUCGCGUCGGCGGGCCGCGAGCCCGCCGCCGAGGAACGUCCGGACUCCACAGGGCAGGGUGGUUGCUAACGGCAACCCGGGGUGACCCGCGGGAAAGUGCCACAGAAAACAGACCGCCGGACGGGUGGUUUACGCGGAAACGCGUUGAUCGACCGGUUCGGUAAGGGUGAAACGGUGGGGUAAGAGCCCACCAGCAUCCCGGGUGACCGGGAUGGCUCGGUAAACCCCACCCGGAGCAAGGCCAAGAAAGGGCCAUCGCCGAAAGGCAACGGCCCGCGCAGGCGUUCGAGGGCGGCCCGCCCGAUGUCUGCGGGUAGGCCGCUGGAGCCUGCCGGCAACGGUAGGCCGAGAUGGAUGACCGCCGCCGGCACCACCGGCAACGGUGCGUGCCGGGCACAAAAUCCGGCGUACAGGUCGACUCGUCCG
Molecule: RNase P RNA, 441 nt
Filed under: Plantactinospora sp. BC1
Lineage: Bacteria; Bacillati; Actinomycetota; Actinomycetes; Micromonosporales; Micromonosporaceae
Description: RNase P RNA component class A
Rfam family: Bacterial RNase P class A
About the family: Ribonuclease P (RNase P) is a ubiquitous endoribonuclease, found in archaea, bacteria and eukarya as well as chloroplasts and mitochondria. Its best characterised activity is the generation of mature 5'-ends of tRNAs by cleaving the 5'-leader elements of precursor-tRNAs. Cellular RNase Ps are ribonucleoproteins.
Source: RNAcentral